RNAcentral lists this microRNA precursor (102 nucleotides) under Marmota monax (woodchuck). It matches the Rfam family "mir-562 microRNA precursor family". Lineage: Eukaryota; Metazoa; Chordata; Mammalia; Rodentia; Sciuridae. The record is from RNAcentral.
AGUGGAAUUGCUGGGUCAUAUAGUAAUUCUACAUUUAAGUUUUCAAAGAAUUGCCAAACUGUUUUUCAAAGGGGCUGCACUAUUUACAUUUCCAUUAGCAAU